Molecule: long non-coding RNA, 1550 nt
Organism: Seriola aureovittata
Lineage: Eukaryota; Metazoa; Chordata; Actinopteri; Carangiformes; Carangidae
Exons: 3
Source: RefSeq, a predicted model, not a curated record
UGCAAAUGCAUAUUUAAUGUCCUACGUUGAACUAUAGACAAUUUUCCACUGAUAAUUGUGUUUUAAAAAAAUAUAAGCUAAAUUCGUAGUUCAGGUGAGAGGAGAAUGGGAUUCAUCUGCAGAAAAACAACUGUUUUAAAUGAGCUAGCUAGCUAGCAAGAAGUUGCUAACGCUAACUGAACAGUCGUGCUGCGGUGCUUUUCACCUGGAAGCAACUUAAAUCGAGUAGCCGGUAGCCACAGCCAUUGUGCCUGAGGACCAACUCCAGAGGCCAGUACUUCCUUCUAACUUCAGAAUAAGAUUCCUCUGGAUCCACCCCCCUCUUGGAUCCCAGAUUCUCUCCAUCAUCUCCUCCAACCGUGAGGUCUAACCGGCAGGGCAGGGGCGUGUGGGCGGACAUGCUGGGUGCUGGCAGCGUGCUCCGUCUGCUAGUGAGUAAUGCGAGUACAGAGACGACCCCCCUCCCCCUCCACCCCCACCACCCAAACACACAUCUCACACUCCUAGAAAGAGAUGGGCCAUAGAUGGAGAGGCAGGCACUCCUGCUGUGACUUGGCGCACCCCACUGGACAGCUGGAGACUUAGGGAAAGGAGACGCUGCCAAACAUGCCUGACAGAGCAGGGGAGUGCUGGAGGUGCAGGGCUGGGUGAGGCCUGAGGUGGCUCCCAUACCUGCAGCUGAUCACCGGCCCAUCAUCUGUAAUUAUCUACACUUACAUACCAGUGAGAUAAAAGGAGGGAUGGUGGACAUAUGCGUGCGCACACACUCACACACACACACACACACACACACACACACACACACACACACACACACACACGCACACGCACAUGCACCCAGACAUUUAUAAUUACAUUAAAAUACUGUGAAAACAGACAAGUGACCAACCCGUAAAAAACAAUUUUCCAGUGAGUUUGGCAUGAACACACCUACUUAUGUUACCCUGAUGAGGAUGUGGUAUCUGCUAUUAUUAUUUUGAUUGAUAUUCUUGUAAGCAGUAAUAGAGAUAAUGAGCUUCUGCUUUGUUUAGCUAAUGCCAAUUAUAUUGUAUAACAACAACAAUUUGCUCAAUCUCAGCAGUGAUUUCUGAACCCAAGGCAACAAUGAAAUCUAUUAGUCUCAUGUGAAUCAUAUGAAUGUUUGGCAAAUGAAAGCGGUGUUGAUUUAUUGCUGCAGCUAAUGAUUCAUUAUCAAUUAAUGUGACAAUGAUUUUCUUGAUUUUUUUGACUAAUAGUUUUGUCUAAAAAAUUAAAGAAAAAGCUGAAAACAGUAGAAGCCAUCUUGUUUAUCAGAGCCUAAGAUGAUAUCCUCAAAUUGCUCAUUCUGUCUGACGAACACACCAAAAUAAAAAAAAAUAAAAAAUGUUAAUUUUGCCAUCAGAUAUUACAAAGAAACUCAAUCAAUUCCUCACACUAGAAAGACUAAAACCAGAGAAUGUUUUGCAUGAAUUGAUUCAAAUCAGAUUUGUCGGUGAUUAAUUUUCUGUAGCGUGACCGACCAGCAGUUUCAUGUAAAUAAAAACUCUUCACAAUUCUUCCAGAAAAUAUAU